AGUUUGAUCCUGGCUCAGAUUGAACGCUGGCGGUAUGCCUUACACAUGCAAGUCGAACGGUAGAGGAGCAAUCCUCGAGAGUGGCGAACGGGUGAGUAAUACAUCGGAACGUGCCCAGUCGUGGGGGAUAACGUAGCGAAAGCUACGCUAAUACCGCAUACGACCCGAGGGUGAAAGCGGGGGACUCGCAAGAGCCUCGCGCGAUUGGAGCGGCCGAUGGCAGAUUAGGUAGUUGGUGGGGUAAAGGCCCACCAAGCCUGCGAUCUGUAGCUGGUCUGAGAGGACGACCAGCCACACUGGGACUGAGACACGGCCCAGACUCCUACGGGAGGCAGCAGUGGGGAAUUUUGGACAAUGGGCGAAAGCCUGAUCCAGCCAUACCGCGUGCGGGAAGAAGGCCUUCGGGUUGUAAACCGCUUUUGUCAGGGAAGAAAUACUUCGGGCUAAUACCCUGGGGUGAUGACGGUACCUGAAGAAUAAGCACCGGCUAACUACGUGCCAGCAGCCGCGGUAAUACGUAGGGUGCAAGCGUUAAUCGGAAUUACUGGGCGUAAAGCGUGCGCAGGCGGUUCUAUAAGACAGAUGUGAAAUCCCCGGGCUCAACCUGGGAACUGCAUUUGUGACUGUAGAGCUAGAGUACGGUAGAGGGGGGAUGGAAUUCCGCGUGUAGCAGUGAAAUGCGUAGAUAUGCGGAGGAACACCGAUGGCGAAGGCAAUCCCCUGGACCUGUACUGACGCUCAUGCA
Molecule: ribosomal RNA, 745 nt
Filed under: uncultured bacterium
Lineage: Bacteria
Description: bacterial SSU rRNA
Rfam family: Bacterial small subunit ribosomal RNA
Source: RNAcentral